This 611-nucleotide ribosomal RNA is filed under the name Salmonella enterica. RNAcentral's name for it is "partial 23S ribosomal RNA". Lineage: Bacteria; Pseudomonadati; Pseudomonadota; Gammaproteobacteria; Enterobacterales; Enterobacteriaceae. The record is from RNAcentral.
UUAGUGGAAGCGUCUGGAUUAGUGGAAGCGUCUGGAAAKGCGCGCGAUACAGGGUGACAGCCCCGUACACAAAAGCGCAUGUGCUGUGAGCUCGAUGAGUAGGGCGGGACACGUGGUAUCCUGUCUGAAUAUGGGGGGACCAUCCUCCAAGGCUAAAUACUCCUGACUGACCGAUAGUGAACCAGUACCGUGAGGGAAAGGCGAAAAGAACCCCGGCGAGGGGAGUGAAAAAGAACCUGAAACCGUGUACGUACAAGCAGUGGGAGCCCCACCACUAAGCCAGUGGUGAACUCCACAUACGCAUCCUUUGCUGAGGAUACGGUUAACGGAGCGAAAGCGACGUUCAACCUCAAAAGAAGCAGAGGGGGCUUAGUGGUGGGGUGACUGCGUACCUUUUGUAUAAUGGGUCAGCGACUUAUAUUCUGUAGCAAGGUUAACCGAAUAGGGGAGCCGGAGGGAAACCGAGUCUUAAUUGGGCGUUAAGUUGCAGGGUAUAGACCCGAAACCCGGUGAUCUAGCCAUGGGCAGGUUGAAGGUUGGGUAACACUAACUGGAGGACCGAACCGACUAAUGUUGAAAAAUUAGCGGAUGACCUGUGGCUGGGGGUGAAA